Molecule: ribosomal RNA, 401 nt
Filed under: Pseudomonas aeruginosa
Lineage: Bacteria; Pseudomonadati; Pseudomonadota; Gammaproteobacteria; Pseudomonadales; Pseudomonadaceae
Description: bacterial SSU rRNA
Rfam family: Bacterial small subunit ribosomal RNA
Source: RNAcentral
AAAUUGAAGAGUUUGAUCAUGGCUCAGAUUGAACGCUGGCGGCAGGCCUAACACAUGCAAGUCGAGCGGUAGCACAGAGAGCUUGCUCUCGGGUGACGAGCGGCGGACGGGUGAGUAAUGUCUGGGAAACUGCCUGAUGGAGGGGGAUAACUACUGGAAACGGUAGCUAAUACCGCAUAAUGUCGCAAGACCAAAGUGGGGGACCUUCGGGCCUCAUGCCAUCAGAUGUGCCCAGAUGGGAUUAGCUAGUAGGUGGGGUAACGGCUCACCUAGGCGACGAUCCCUAGCUGGUCUGAGAGGAUGACCAGCCACACUGGAACUGAGACACGGUCCAGACUCCUACGGGAGGCAGCAGUGGGGAAUAUUGCACAAUGGGCGCAAGCCUGAUGCAGCCAUGCCGC